This 255-nucleotide ribosomal RNA is filed under the name uncultured bacterium. RNAcentral's name for it is "partial 16S ribosomal RNA". It matches the Rfam family "Bacterial small subunit ribosomal RNA", at positions 524 to 776 of the family's 1533-position model. The record is from RNAcentral.
UACGGGGGGGAGCAAGCGUUGUUCGGAUUUACUGGGCGUAAAGGGUGCGUAGGCGGCGCGGUAAGUCGGGUGUGAAAUUUCGAGGCUUAACUUCGAAACUGCAUUCGAUACUGCCGUGCUUGAGGACUGGAGAGGAGACUGGAAUUUACGGUGUAGCGGUGAAAUGCGUAGAUAUCGUAAGGAAGACCAGUGGCGAAGGCGGGUCUCUGGACAGUUCCUGACGCUGAGGCACGAAGGCCAGGGGGAGCAAACGGG